CAGGUGGGAAGCUUGGGUGAGGGUAGAAGAGGUGUAGAGUCCUGUCUGUGCAGAGGGACAGGAUUCUCUCCUGGGCGGGGGGUAUGCAUGUGUCCUGCUCUAGGGUAGGGAGUAGUAUCCUGUUGAGGGGUGACUGACAUUCUAACCUCCUUCUAAACCCCACAACAGGAGAAGUUCCUAGAGAUCAGUCGUCUCCACUUCCGCACAGUGCCUUCCAAUCCCCACUACUUCUUCUAUUGCCCUCCAUCCAGCAGGCGAGAAGAUGAGGGGCCUCGGGACACAGUAGACAGAAAAAUCAGUGACCUGGAGUUUUCAGAGGCUGAGCUUAUGGGAGAAGAAGGAGACACAUCUGCCUGCUGUGUGGUCACUGAGAGUGACCCAGAGCUAGAGGUAGAAUACCGGGAGAGCCGUGAAUCAGACCUGGGGCCUGCUGGGCUAGACUCUGCCUCGCUGUCAGAUGUAGACACUGUGAAUCCUGAUGAAGACUCCUUCAGUAUCUUGGGGGGCGACUCACCCACUGGGCCUGAGAGCUUCCUUCAUGA
This 542-nucleotide small RNA is filed under the name Pan troglodytes (chimpanzee). RNAcentral's name for it is "retained intron". The record is from RNAcentral. Lineage: Eukaryota; Metazoa; Chordata; Mammalia; Primates; Hominidae.